Molecule: unclassified non-coding RNA, 276 nt
Filed under: Sebacinaceae sp.
Lineage: Eukaryota; Fungi; Basidiomycota; Agaricomycetes; Sebacinales; Sebacinaceae
Description: partial contains small subunit ribosomal RNA, internal transcribed spacer 1, and 5.8S ribosomal RNA
Rfam family: Eukaryotic small subunit ribosomal RNA (bases 1-46)
Source: RNAcentral
AAGUCGUAACAAGGUUUCCGUAGGUGAACCUGCGGAAGGAUCAUUAAUGAAACUUUCAAAGUCGGCUUGUUUAUCUGUGCUGGUGGAGACACAUGUGCACAUUGACAAGUUGCAAAUCCACACACCUGUGCAUCUUAUGACUCUGAGUUACCCUUUUGUGUGGCUUUCACUGGCCUGGUGACUCGAGUACUUUUACACACUCUUGAAUGUAAUGGAAUGUCUAUUGUGCAUAAUGUACAACUAAAAUAACUUUCAACAACGGAUCUCUUGGCUCUC